UGGGGAAUCUUGCGCAAUGGGCGAAAGCCUGACGCAGCGACGCCGCGUGAGGGAGGAAGGCCUUCGGGUUGUAAACCUCUUUCAGGAGGGACGAAGCUACUCGGGUGAAUAGCCCAGAGGGUGACGGUACCUCCAGAAGAAGCCCCGGCUAACUACGUGCCAGCAGCCGCGGUAAUACGUAGGGGGCAAGCGUUGUCCGGAUUUACUGGGCGUAAAGCGCGUGUAGGCGGCCACGCAGGUCCGUUGUGAAAACUGGAGGCUCAACUUCCAGACGUCGACGGAAACCGUGUGGCUAGAGUCCGGAAGAGGAGAGUGGAAUUCCUGGUGUAGCGGUGAAAUGCACAGAUAUCAGGAAGAACACCAAUGGCGAAGGCAGCUCUCUGGGACGGUACUGACGCUGAGACGCGAAAGCGUGGGGAGCGAACAGGAUUAGAUACCCUGGUAGUCCACGCCGUAAACGAUGGGUGCUAGGUGUGGGAGGUGUCGACUCCUUCCGUGCCGUAGCUAACGCGUUAAGCACCCCGCCUGGGGAGUACGGCCGCAAGGCUAA
This 550-nucleotide ribosomal RNA is filed under the name uncultured bacterium. RNAcentral's name for it is "bacterial SSU rRNA". It matches the Rfam family "Bacterial small subunit ribosomal RNA", at positions 355 to 897 of the family's 1533-position model. The record is from RNAcentral.